Podarcis lilfordi (Lilford's wall lizard) is the source of this 934-nucleotide non-coding RNA. The record is from the annotation of a GenBank genome assembly. Lineage: Eukaryota; Metazoa; Chordata; Lepidosauria; Squamata; Lacertidae.
GCCUGGAGAAAUGGGGCGGAGGAAACCUUUUCUCCUUCUCUCCCAUGAAGCUGAAUGUUGGGCAGAUGAAAGGAAGGGCUUCUUCAGGCAGCACGGAAAUUAAACUCUGGAACUCCUUCCUGCAGGACCCAGGGAUGACUCACGCGGGAGGAGAAGGCUCUGGAGAGCUCCUAGCCAGGAUGGCUCUGCCCUGCCUCUACAGUUGGACACAGAAAUGAUCCUGAAUCCCUACUGCUGGGAGCCACAGGACAGGGCAGCUGCUCUCUUGCUGAGAUCCUGCUAGCUGGUUUCCCAUAAUAGCCACCCUUCACAGGAUGCUGGACUAGGGGGGCCUCUGGCUCUUCUGAUGUGUCUUGUGGUCAGUGACUUUCCAUGGACUGAGGCUGGGAAGUUUGGGAAGGAGAGAGAAAGGGUCCCACAGAUUCCAUGCUCUCUGGUCUUCUUCCUAUUUCACACACGACUUCCCUCAGAGCCACGGAGGAAACUGGAUCCCUUUAUAAAUAAGUGACAGCAGGGGGGCCUCCACUGCUUGGGUGCCCAGCAGCUUAGCAAAAGAAAAAGUGUGCUCCCAGCCCUUAGUCUAGGCCUUAUUACAUGAGCCCUGUUCCACAGCAUUUGAUAGUUUCAUUUACAUACAUUCAUUCGAAAUAAGAUGGGGUAUGUACUCUUUUUCAUUGCUGUUUGUAUUAUAGUUUAUAAUUUUUGUAAAGUGAUAUGUGCAUGCAGGUCAUCGUCUGUAAAAUUUUAUUUUCAGUUUAUGAAGCAAUUCUACAUCCUCCCACCACGCUGACGAAGAAUUUUACGAAACAGUAGUCAAUAUCCGGAAUAACUGUUCAGUGUUGGACAUUAUAUUUGCUGAAUACACAAAGCUUCACAACUUGUCUUUCAUCGAACAAAGUCUGGUACCUCGCUUCAUUUAAAGAUUUCCAGAGAC